Molecule: long non-coding RNA, 224 nt
Filed under: Musa acuminata (dwarf banana)
Lineage: Eukaryota; Viridiplantae; Streptophyta; Magnoliopsida; Zingiberales; Musaceae
Description: long non-coding RNA (MACU_LNC004664)
Source: RNAcentral
UUUUUUUGCAAUGUGCAAGCUAGCAAAUUUGCUUUUCUUUAUGAUGUGCAACCUAGCAAGACUUUUCUCCCCCUUUGUCAUUGUCAAAAAGAAGGGAAGAAUACAAUGGUAUAAUUUUUUUUUUACAUCAAUGCUCUAAUCUUAACAUAAGGUAUACAACCAUAAAUAUAAAGGAAUUGUACAUAAUGAAAAUUAUGUCAUGAAAUAUAUAAUAUCAAAGAUCA